GACUUUUUUUGCUAAGCGAGAUAAAAUGUGAGACAAAGGUGUCACCUUUUUAAUGUACCGUUAGGAGGCUUCCCAAUGCAAGGUAAAGUCAAGUGGUUCAACGCAGAAAAAGGCUAUGGUUUCAUCGAGCGUGAAGACGGUGGCGACGUAUUCGUACACUUCUCCGCAAUCCAAGCAGACGGUUUCAAAACCCUCGAAGAAGGCCAAGAAGUAUCCUUCGACAUCGUUGAAGGCGCUCGUGGCCCGCAAGCUGCGAACGUCACCAAGCUGUAAGAACUACAGAUUGUUGGACCCCGCAGUGUAAAGUCCUGGGAACUCAAUCCUGGGACUUUUUU
Molecule: non-coding RNA, 335 nt
Filed under: Tumebacillus flagellatus
Lineage: Bacteria; Bacillati; Bacillota; Bacilli; Caryophanales; Alicyclobacillaceae
Description: cspA thermoregulator
Rfam family: cspA thermoregulator
Source: Rfam by way of RNAcentral